UGAGUAACACGUAUCCAACCUGCCGUCUACUCUUGGACAGCCUUCUGAAAGGAAGAUUAAUACAAGAUGGCAUCAUGAGUUCACAUGUUCACAUGAUUAAAGGUAUUCCGGUAGACGAUGGGGAUGCGUUCCAUUAGAUGGUAGGCGGGGUAACGGCCCACCUAGUCUUCGAUGGAUAGGGGUUCUGAGAGGAAGGUCCCCCACAUUGGAACUGAGACACGGUCCAA
Molecule: ribosomal RNA, 227 nt
Filed under: uncultured bacterium
Lineage: Bacteria
Description: partial 16S ribosomal RNA
Rfam family: Bacterial small subunit ribosomal RNA
Source: RNAcentral